This 460-nucleotide ribosomal RNA is filed under the name uncultured bacterium. RNAcentral's name for it is "partial 16S ribosomal RNA". It matches the Rfam family "Bacterial small subunit ribosomal RNA", at positions 338 to 795 of the family's 1533-position model. The record is from RNAcentral.
CCUACGGGUGGCAGCAGUGAGGAAUAUUGGUCAAUGGACGCAAGUCUGAACCAGCCAUGCCGCGUGCAGGAUGACGGCUCUAUGGGUUGUAAACUUCUUUUGUACGGGAGUAAUCUCCGGUACGUGUGUCUUCUUGCACGUAUCGUACGAAUAAGGAUCGGCUAACUCCGUGCCAGCAGCCGCGGUAAUACGGAGGGUCCGGGCGUUAUCCGGAUUUAUUGGGUUUAAAGGGUGCGUAGUGGGGAUGUCAAGGCAGGUGUGAAAACCUGGGGCUCAACCCUAGAACUGCCGUUGAAACUGGCGUGCUUGAGUGGGGGAGAAGUAGGCGGAAUGCGUGGUGUAGCGGUGAAAUGCAUAGAUAUCACGAAGAACUCCGAUUGCGAAGGCAGCAUACUGGAGUGCAACUGACGUUGAAGCACGAAAGCGUGGGUAUCGAACAGGAUUAGAUACCCCUGUAGUC